Molecule: ribosomal RNA, 534 nt
Filed under: uncultured Planomicrobium sp.
Lineage: Bacteria; Bacillati; Bacillota; Bacilli; Caryophanales; Caryophanaceae
Description: bacterial SSU rRNA
Rfam family: Bacterial small subunit ribosomal RNA
Source: RNAcentral
CGGCGGACGGGUGAGUAACACGUGGGCAACCUGCCCUGCAGAUCGGGAUAACUCCGGGAAACCGGUGCUAAUACCGAAUAGUUUGGAGCCUCUCCUGAGGUUCCACGGAAAGGCGGCUUCGGCUGCCACUGCAGGAUGGGCCCGCGGCGCAUUAGCUAGUUGGUGGGGUAAUGGCCCACCAAGGCGACGAUGCGUAGCCGACCUGAGAGGGUGAUCGGCCACACUGGGACUGAGACACGGCCCAGACUCCUACGGGAGGCAGCAGUAGGGAAUCUUCCGCAAUGGACGCAAGUCUGACGGAGCAAUGCCGCGUGAGUGACGAAGGUUUUCGGAUCGUAAAACUCUGUUGUAAGGGAAGAACAAGCCCCAUUUAACUGAUGGGGCCCUGACGGUACCUUACCAGAAAGCCACGGCUAACUACGUGCCAGCAGCCGCGGUAAUACGUAGGUGGCAAGCGUUGUCCGGAAUUAUUGGGCGUAAAGCGCGCGCAGGCGGUCCCUUAAGUCUGAUGUGAAAGCCCACGGCUCAACCGUG